AGCAGCCGCGGUAAUUCCAGCUCCAAUAGCGUAUAUUAAAGUUGUUGCAGUUAAAAAGCUCGUAGUUGAAUUUCGGGGUCAGUAGGUCGGUCGUGCCAACGGUAUGAACUGGUCUCACUGAUUCCUCCCUCUUGUAGAACCGUGAUGCCAUUAACUUGGUGUUGCGGGGAAACAGGACUGUUACUUUGAAAAAAUUAGAGUGUUUAAAGCAAGCUAACGCUUGAAUACAUUAGCAUGGAAUAAUGAAAUAGGACGUCGAUCUUAUUUUGUUGGUUUCUAAGGUUGACGUAAUGAUUAAUAGGGAUAGUUGGGGGCAUCAGUAUUCAAUUGUCAGAGGUGAAAUUCUUGGAUUUAUUGAAGACUAACUACUGCGAAAGCAUUUGCCAAGGAUGUUUUCAUUAAUCAAGAACGAAAGUUAGGGGAUCGAAGACGAUCAGAUACCGUCGUAGUCUUAACCAUAAACUAUGCCGACUAGGGAUCGGAUGAUGUUAAUUUUUUAAUGACUCAUUCGGCGCCUUACG
RNAcentral lists this ribosomal RNA (521 nucleotides) under uncultured Glomus. Its description in RNAcentral is "SSU rRNA". It matches the Rfam family "Eukaryotic small subunit ribosomal RNA", at positions 569 to 1092 of the family's 1831-position model. Lineage: Eukaryota; Fungi; Glomeromycota; Glomeromycetes; Glomerales; Glomeraceae. The record is from RNAcentral.